Molecule: ribosomal RNA, 202 nt
Filed under: uncultured bacterium
Lineage: Bacteria
Description: partial 16S ribosomal RNA
Rfam family: Bacterial small subunit ribosomal RNA
Source: RNAcentral
GCAGUCUGCAACUCGACUGCAUGAAGCCGGAAUCGCUAGUAAUCGCGGAUCAGAAUGCCGCGGUGAAUACGUUCCCGGGUCUUGUACACACCGCCCGUCACACCAUGGGAGUCGGAAAUGCCCGAAACCGGUGGCCUAACCGAUAAGGGAGGAGCCGUCGAAGGCAGGUCUGAUGACUGGGGUGAAGUCGUAACAAGGUAGC